This 489-nucleotide ribosomal RNA is filed under the name uncultured bacterium. Its description in RNAcentral is "bacterial SSU rRNA". It matches the Rfam family "Bacterial small subunit ribosomal RNA", at positions 38 to 524 of the family's 1533-position model. The record is from RNAcentral.
GGCGGCGUGCCUAAUCAUGCUAGUCUCGCGGACUCCUGCAGGAGUGAUCGGCGGACAGGUGAGGAACACGUGGGCGAUCUGCCCAUUGGACUGGAGUAACGCCUGGAAACCGGUGCUAAGGCCAGAUAGACCCCUAAGAGGCCUCUCUUGUGUGGGACAGAUGCUGCGGCUUCGCCCGUGGAGGAGCCCGCGGCGCAUUAGCUGGUUGGCGGGGUAACUGCCCACCUAGGCUGACGAUGCUUAUCCGACCUGAUAGGGUGAACGGCCACACUGGGACUGAGACACGGGCCACACUCCUACAGGAGGCACCAUUAGGGAAUCUUCCGUACUGGGCGCACGCCUGACUGAACAACGCCUCCUAAGCGAAGAAGGCCUUCGGGUUGUACAACUUAGUCACUCCGGAAGAGCGAGUGGGAGAGUGAAUGCUCCCACCGAGACGGUACCGUGAGAGGAAGCCUCGGCUAACUCGGUGCCACCGGCCGCGGUAGU